UUUUUUUUUUUUUCAAACAUGGAGUUUCACUCUGUCACCCAGGCUGGAGUACACUGAAGAGAUCUUGGUCCACUGCAGCCUGUACCUCCUGGGUUCAAGCGAUUCUCCUGCCUCAGCCUCCAGAGUUGCUGAGAUUACAGGCAUGUGCCACC
This is a long non-coding RNA of Sapajus apella (tufted capuchin), 152 nucleotides long. RefSeq lists it as uncharacterized. Lineage: Eukaryota; Metazoa; Chordata; Mammalia; Primates; Cebidae. The record is from RefSeq and is a predicted model, not a curated record. The transcript has 3 exons.